AUUGAACGCUGGCGGCAUGCCUUACACAUGCAAGUCGAACGGUAACGGGCCUUCGGGUGCCGACGAGUGGCGAACGGGUGAGUAAUACAUCGGAACGUGUCCGAUCGUGGGGGAUAACGAGGCGAAAGCUUUGCUAAUACCGCAUACGAUCUACGGAUGAAAGCAGGGGACCGCAAGGCCUUGCGCGGACGGAGCGGCCGAUGGCAGAUUAGGUAGUUGGUGGGAUAAAAGCUUACCAAGCCGACGAUCUGUAGCUGGUCUGAGAGGAUGAUCAGCCACACUGGGACUGAGACACGGCCCAGACUCCUACGGGAGGCAGCAGUGGGGAAUUUUGGACAAUGGGCGCAAGCCUGAUCCAGCCAUGCCGCGUGCAGGAUGAAGGCCUUCGGGUUGUAAACUGCUUUUGUACGAAACGAAAAGCCUUCUUUUAAUACAGGAGGGUCAUGACGGUACCGUAAGAAUAAGCACCGGCUAACUACGUG
This 482-nucleotide ribosomal RNA is filed under the name uncultured bacterium. RNAcentral describes it as "partial 16S ribosomal RNA". It matches the Rfam family "Bacterial small subunit ribosomal RNA", at positions 30 to 507 of the family's 1533-position model. The record is from RNAcentral.